AUCUACAGCCAUGCUACCCUGAACAAGCCCGAUCCAGUCUGAUCUUGGAAGCUAAACAGGGUUGGGCCUGGUUAGUACUUGGAUGGGAGACCACCUAGGAAGACCAGGUGCUGUAGGUA
This 119-nucleotide ribosomal RNA is filed under the name Pteropus alecto (black flying fox). Lineage: Eukaryota; Metazoa; Chordata; Mammalia; Chiroptera; Pteropodidae. The record is from RNAcentral.